GCGCCGCCCGAAGAACCGCCGUCGCAGCUCACGCACAGAGGCUGCGCCCUCGCCCUUCCGCUGCGGGGAAAGUCCCCGGAGACGCAGAGUGCGUCCGCGCCCGCUCGUUUCGGAAAGCGACCGUCCCCAAGACCGACGGUGACGGUACGCGGCGCGGACAGGCGGGGAGUCGUCUCCUCAACCAAGCCGCUCUGCCGCCCGUUUGCGCGUGCUGCGAAGCCGCCGCCGCCGGGGCGCGAAGAUACGAGCGCCCCGGCGCGCGCGCGCGCGCGCGCCGGGCGACGCGUUGCUCAUAGACACAGUUAUGCGGUUGCGGCGGAACUCGUUUCGGCCGCGAACACAAUGGGGCUUACUCUCGCGCGGCG
RNAcentral lists this RNase MRP RNA (365 nucleotides) under Gloeophyllum trabeum ATCC 11539. RNAcentral describes it as "RNase MRP". It matches the Rfam family "RNase MRP". From Rfam's summary of the family: RNase MRP is an enzymatically active ribonucleoprotein with two distinct roles in eukaryotes. The record is from Rfam by way of RNAcentral. Lineage: Eukaryota; Fungi; Basidiomycota; Agaricomycetes; Gloeophyllales; Gloeophyllaceae.